RNAcentral lists this ribosomal RNA (450 nucleotides) under uncultured Glomeromycotina. RNAcentral's name for it is "SSU rRNA". It matches the Rfam family "Eukaryotic small subunit ribosomal RNA", at positions 569 to 1025 of the family's 1831-position model. The record is from RNAcentral. Lineage: Eukaryota; Fungi; Glomeromycota.
AGCAGCCGCGGUAAUUCCAGCUCCAAUAGCGUAUAUUAAAGUUGUUGCAGUUAAAAAGCUCGUAGUUGAAUUUCGGGAUCAAUAUGUUGGUCGUGCCUUGGUACGUACUAAUUUAUUGGUUUCUUCCUUCUGACGAACCAUGAUGUCAUUUAUUUGGUGUUGUGGGGAAUCAGGACUGUUACUUUGAAAAAAUUAGAGUGUUUAAAGCAGGCUCACGCUUGAAUACAUUAGCAUGGAAUAAUGAAAUAGGACGUUUGAUUCUAUUUUGUUGGCUUCUAGGAUCGACGUAAUGAUUAAUAGGGAUAGUUGGGGGCAUUAGUAUUCAAUUGUCAGAGGUGAAAUUCUUGGAUUUAUUGAAGACUAACUACUGCGAAAGCAUUUGCCAAGGAUGUUUUCAUUAAUCAAGAACGAAAGUUAGGGGAUCGAAGACGAUCAGAUACCGUCGUAGUC